RNAcentral lists this long non-coding RNA (43194 nucleotides) under Triticum aestivum (bread wheat). Its description in RNAcentral is "long non-coding RNA (TAES_LNC019907)". Lineage: Eukaryota; Viridiplantae; Streptophyta; Magnoliopsida; Poales; Poaceae. The record is from RNAcentral.
UGGAAGGCUCUAGGGGAAUAAAGAUGGAAUGACUUCUAAUUUUUAGGUCCGUAUGAUUUGAAAUACUUGCACACAAACCGCGCGAAAGCGUUCCUGGAAAUCUCAGCCCAAAAAAGGACGUUUAGUAAUUUUAAAAGGGACUAUAGGAUGAAAAACAAUAGUUUUGGCAAUUAAAGUUUGAGAUUCGACGGUGUCGUAGAUCCGUUUGGUCAUCAGGUGUUACGAGCCACACCCAUGUCUAGCUAGAAUAGUAUGUCAGGCUCAGGUUAGAGUAGAAACGGGGAACAAACUGAUGAAAGAAUGAUCAUACCAAGGGAAUUCACUCAGAACUAUCAAGAAUGAUAACGUGCUCCGACUGGAGUGAUUUAGGAACUGCUGGAAGGCUCUAGGGGAAUAAAGAUGGAAUGACUUCUAAUUUUUACGUCCGUAUGAUUUGAAAUACUUGCACACAAAUCACGCAAAAGCGUUCCUGGAAAUCUCAGCCUAAAAAAGGACGUUUAGUAAUUCUAAAAGGGACUACAGGAUGAAAAACAAUAGUUUGGGCAGUUAAAAUUUGAGAUUCGACGGUGCCGUAGAUCCGUUUGGUCAUCAGGUGUUACGAGCGACACCCUUGUCUAGCUAGAAUAGUGUGUUAGGCUCAGACUAGAGAAGAAACGGGGAACAAAGUGAUGAAAGAAUGAUCAUACCGAGGGAAUUCACUCAGAACUAACAAGAAUGAUAACGUGCUCCGACUGGAGCGGUUUAGUAACUGCUGGAAGGCUCUAGGGGAAUGAAGAUGGAAUGACUUCUAAUUUUUAGGUCCGUAUGAUUUGAAAUACAUGCACACAAACCCUGAGAAAGCGUUCCUGGAAAUCUCGGUCGAAAAAAGGAUGUUUAAUAAUUCUAAAAGGGACUACCGGAUGAAAAACAAUAGUUUUGGCAGUUAAAGUUUGUGAUUCGAUGGUGCCGUAGAUCUGUUUGGUCAUCAGGUGUUACGAGCCACACCCAUGUCUAUCUAGAAUAGUGUGUUAGGCUCAGGCUAGAGCAGAAACGGGGAACAGACUUAUGAAAGAAUGAUCAUACCGAGGGAAUUCACUCAGAACUAACAAGAAUGAUAACGUGCUCCGACUGGCGCGGUUUAGGAACUGCUGGAAGGCUCUAGGGGAAUAAAGAUGGAAAGACUUCUAAUUUUUAGGUCCGUAUGAUUUGAAAUACUUGCACACAAACCGCACGAAAGCGUUCCUGGAAAUCUCAGCCUAAAAAGGAUGUUUAGUAAUUCUAAAAGGGACUACAAGAUGAAAAAUAAUAGUUUGGGCAGUUAAAAUUUGAGAUUCGACGAUGCCGUAGAUCCGUUUGGUCAUCAGGUGUUAUGAGCCACACCCAUGUCUAGCUAGAAUAGUGUGUUAGGCUCAGGCUAGAGAAGAAACGGGGAACAAACUGAUGAAAGAAUGAUCAUACCGAGGGAAUUCACUCAGAACUAACAAGAAUGAUAACGUGCUCCGACUGGAGCAGUUUAGAAACUGCUGGAAGGCUCUAAUGGAAUAAAGAUGGAAUGCCUUCAAAUUUCUAGGUCCGUAUGAUUUGAAAUACUUGCACACAAACCGCUCGAAAGCGUUCCUGGAAAUCUCAGCCCAAAAAAGGACGUUUAGUAAUUCUAAAAGGGACUACAGGAUGAAAAACAAUAGUUUUGGCAGUUAAAGUUUGAGAUUCGAUGGUGCCGUAGAUCCGUUUGGUCAUCAGGUGUAACGAGCCACACACAUGUCUAGCUAGAGUAGUGUGCUAGGCUCAGACUAGAGAAGAAACGGGGAACAAAGUGAUGAAAGAAUGAUCAUACCGAGGGAAUUCACUCAGAACUUACAAGAAUGAUAACGUGCUCCGACUGGAGCGCUUUAGUAACUGCUGGAAGGCUCUAGGCGAAUAAAGAUGGAAUGACUUCUAAUUUUUAGGUCCGUAUGAUUUGAAAUACUUGCACACAAACCACGCAAAACCGUUCCUAGAAAUCUCGGUCGAAAAAAGGACGUUUAGUAAUUCUAAAAGGGACUACAGGAUGAAAAACAAUAGUUUUGGCAGUUAAAGUUUGAGAUUCGAUGGUGCCGUAGAUCCGUUUGGUCAUCAGGUGUUACGAGCCACACCCAUGUCUAGCUAGAGUAGUGUGCUAGGUUCAGACUAGAGAAGAAACGGGGAACAAAGUGAUUAAAGAAUGAUCAUACCGAGGGAAUUCACUCAGAACUAACAAGAAUGAUAACGUGCUCCGACUGGAGCGGUUUAGGAACUGCUGGAAGGCUCUAGGGGAAUAAAGAUGGAAUGACUUCUAAUUUUUACGUCCGUAUGAUUUGAAAUACAUGCACACAAACCACGCAAAAGCGUUCCUGGAAAUCUCAGCCUAAAAAAGGACGUUUAGUAAUUCUAAAAGGGACUACAGGAUGAAAAAUAAUAGUUUGGGCAGUUAAAAUUUGAGAUUCGACGCUGCCGUAGAUCCGUUUGGUCAUCAGGUCUUACGAGCCACACCCAUGUCUAGCUAGAAUAGUGUGUUAGGCUCAGGCUAGAGAAGAAACGGGGAACAAACUGAUGAAAGAAUGAUCAUACCGAGGGAAUUCACUCAGAACUAACAAGAAUGAUAACGUGCUCCGACUGGAGCAGUUUAGAAACUCCUGGAAGGCUCUAGGGGAAUAAAGAUGGAAUGACUUCAAAGUUUUAGGUCCGUAUGAUUUGAAAUACUUGCACACAAACCGCGUGAAAGCGUUCCUGGAAAUCUCAACCCAAAAAAGGGCGUUUAGUAAUUCUAAAAGGGACUACAGGAUGUAAAACAAUAGUUUUGGCAGUUAAAGUUUGAGAUUCGAUGGUGCCGUAGAUCCGUUUGGUCAUCAGGUGUAACGAGCCACACCCAUGUCUAGCUAGAGUAGUGUGCUAGGCUCAGACUAGAGAAGAAACGGGGAACAAAGUGAUGAAAGAAUGAUCAUACCGAGGGAAUUCACUCAUAACUAACAAGAAUGAUAACGUGCUCUGACUUGAGCGGUUUAGGAACUGCUGGAAGGCUAUAGGGGAAUAAAGAUGGAAUGACUUCAAAUUUUUAGGUCCGUAUGAUCUGAAAUACUUGCACACAAACCGCGAGAAAGCGUUCCUGGAAAUCUCAACCCAAAAAAGGACGUUUAGUAAUUCUAAAAGGGACUACAGGAUGAAAAACAAUAGUUCUGGCAGUUAUUGUUUGAGAUUCGAUAAUCUCGUAGAUCCGUUUGGUCAUCAGGUGUAACGAGCCACACCCAUGUCUAGCUAGAGUAGUGUGCUAGGCUCAGACUAGAGAAGAAACGGGGAACAAACUGAUGAAAGAAUGAUCAUACCGAGGGAAUUCACUUAGAACUAACAAGAAUGAUAACGUGCUCCGACUGGAGCGGUUUAGGAACUGCUGGAAGGCUCUAGGGGAAUAAAGAAGGAACGACUUCUAAUUUUUAGGUCCGUAUGAUUUGAAAUAUGUGCACACAAACCACGAGAAAGCGUUCCUAGAAAUCUCGGCCCAAAAGAGGACGUUUAGUAUUCUAAAAGGGACUACAGAAUGAAAAACAAUAGUUUUGGCAGUUAAAGUUUGAGAUUUGACGGUGCCGUAGAUCUGUUUGGUCAUCAGGGGUUACGAGCCACACCCAUGUCUAGCUAGAAUAGUGUGUUAGGCUCAGGCUAGAAAAGAAACGGGGAACAAAGUGAUGAAAGAAUGAUCAUACCGAGGGAAUUCACUCAGAACUAACAAGAAUGAUAACAUGCUCCGACUGGAGCGGUUUAGGAACUGCUGGAAGGCUCUAGGGGAAUAAAGAUGGAAUGACUUCUAAUUUUUAGGUCCGUAUGAUUUGAAAUACUUGCACACAAACCGCGCGAAAGCGUUCCUGGAAAUCUCAGCCCAAAAAAGGACGUUUAGUAAUUCUAAAAGGGACUACAGGAUGAAAAACAAUAGUUUUGGCAGUUAAAGUAUGAGAUUCAACGGUGCCGUAGAUCCGUUUGGUCAUUAGGUGUUACGAGCCACACCCAUGUCUAGCUAGAAUAGUGUGCUAGGCUCAGGCUAGAGAAGAAACGGGGAACAAACUGAUGAAAGAAUGAUCAAACCGAGGGAAUUCACUCAGAACUAACAAUAAUGAUAACGUGCUCCGACUGGAGCGGUUUAGGAACUGCUGGAAGUCUCUAGGGGAAUAAAGAUGGAAUGACUUCUAAUUUUUACGUUCGUAUGAUUUGAAAAACUUGCCCAUAAACCGCGCGAAAGUGUUCCUGGAAAUCUCAGCCCAAAAAAGGACGUUUAGUAAUUUUAAAAGGGACUACACGAUGAAAAACAAUAGUUUUGGCAGGUAAAGUUUGAGAUUCGACAGUGCCGUAGAUCCGUUUGGUCAUCAGGUGUUACGAGCCACACCCAUGUCUAGCUAGAAUAGUAUGUUACGCUCAGGUUAGAGAAGAAACGGGGAACAAACUGAUGAAAGAUGAUCAUACCAAGGGAAUUCACUCAGAACUAACAAGAAUGAUAACGUGCUCCGACUGGAGCGGUUUAGGAACUGCUGGAAGGCUCUAGGGGAAUAAAGAUGGAAUGACUUCUAAUUUUUACGUCUGUAUGAUUUGAAAUACUUGCACACAAACAACGCAAAAGCAUUCCUGGAAAUCUCAUCCUAAAAAAGGACGUUUAGUAAUUCUAAAAGGGACUACAGGAUGAAAAAUAAUAGUUUGGGAAGUUAAAAUUUGAGAUUCGAUAGUGCCGUAGAUCCGUUUGGUCAUCAGGUGUUAGGAGCCACACCCAUGUCUAGCUAGAAUAGUGUGUUAGGCUCAGGCUAGAGAAGAAACAGGGAACAAACUGAUGAAAGAAUGAUCAUACCGAGGGAAUUCACUCAGAACUAGCAAGAAUGAUAACGUGCUCCGACUGGAGCAGUUUUGAAACUGCUGGAAGGCUCUAGGGGAAUAAUGAUGGAAUGACUUCUAAGUUUUUGGUCCGUAUGAUUUGAAAUACGUGCACACAAACCCAGAGAAAGUGUUCUUGGAAAUCUCGGCCGAAAAAAGGAUGUUUAAUAAUUCUAAAAGGGACUACAGGAUGAAAAACAAUAGUUUUGGCAGUUAAAGUUUGUGAUUCGAUGGUGCUGUAGAUCUGUUUGGUCAUCAGGUGUUAUGAGCCACACCCAUGUCUAGCUAGAACAGUGUGUUAGGCUCAGGCUAGAGCAGAAACGGGGAACAAACUUAUGAAAGAAUGAUCAUACCGAGGGAAUUCACUCAGAACUAACAAGAAUGAUAACGUGCUCCGACUGGAGAGGUUUAGGAACUGCUGGAAGGCUCUAGGGGAAUAAAGAUGGAAUGACUUCAAAUUUUUAGGUCUGUAUGAUCUGAAAUACUUGCACACAAACCGCGAGAAAGCGUUCCUGGAAAUCUCAGCCCAAAAAAGGACGUUUAGUGAUUCUAAAAGGGACUACGGGAUAAAAAACAAUAGUUUUGGCAGUUAAAGUUUGAGAUUCGAUAAUGCCGUAGAUCCGUUUGGUCAUCAGGUGUAACGAGCCACACCCAUGUCUAGCUAGAGUAGUGUGCUAGGCUCAUACUAGAGAAGAAAUGGGGAACAAACUGAUGAAAGAAUGAUCAUACCGAGGGAGUUCACUCAAAACUAACAUGAAUGAUAACGUGCUCCGACUGGAGCGGUUUAGGAACUGCUGGAAGGCUCUAGGGGAAUAAAGAUGGAAUGACUUCUAAUUUUUAGGUCCGUAUGAUUUGAAAUACAUGCACACAAACCCCAAGAAAGCGUUCCUGGAAAUCUCGCCCCGAAAAACGACGUUUAGUAAUUCUAAAAGGGACUAUAGGAUGAAAAACAAUAGUUUUGGCAGUUAAAGUUUGAGAUUUGACGGUGCCGUAGAUCUGUUUGGUCAUCAGGUGUUACGAGCCACACCCAUUUCUAGCUAGAAUAGUGUGUUAGGCUCAGGCUAGAAAAGAAACGGGGAACAAAGUGAUGAAAGAAUGAUCAUACCGAGGGAAUUCACUCAGAACUAACAAGAAUGAUAACAUGGUCCGACUGGAGCGGUUUAGGAACUGCUGGAAGGCUCUAGGGGAAUAAAGAUGGAAUGACUUCUAACUUUUAGGUCCGUAUGAUUUGAAUUACUUGCACACAAACCGCGCGAAAGCGUUCCUGGAAAUCUCAGCCCAAAAAAGGACGUUUAGUAAUUCUAAAAGGGACUACAGGAUGAAAAACAAUAGUUUUGGCAGUUAAAGUUUGAGAUUCGACGGUGCCGUAGAUCCGUUUGGUCAGCAGGUGUUACGAGCCACACCCAUGUCUAGCUAGAGUAGUGUGCUAGGUUCAGACUAGAGAAGAAAUGUUGGGGAACGUAGCAGAAAUUCAAAAUUUUCCUACGUGUCACCAAGAUCUAUCUAUGGAGAGACUAGCAACGAGGGAAGGAGAGUGCAUCUACAUACCCUUGUAGAUCGCUAAGCGGAAGCGUUCAAGUGAACGGGGUUGAUGGAGUCGUACUCGUCGUGAUUCAGCUCACCGAUGAUCCUAGUGCCGAACGGACGGCACCUCCGCGUUCAACACACGUACAGCUCGACGAUGUCUCCCACGCCUUGAUCCAGCAAGGAGAGAGGGAGAGGUUGAGGAAGACUCCAUCCAGCAGAAGCACAACGGCGUGGUGGUGAUGGAGGAGCAUGGCAAUCCUGCAGGGCUUCGCCAAGCACCUAUGGGAGAGGAGGAGGUGUCACGGGAGGGAGGGAGGCGCCAAGGGCUCAGGUAUAGAUGCCCUCCCUCCCCUCCACUAUAUAUAGGGGCAAGGGAGAGGGGGGAGGCGCAGCCUUGCCCCUUCCUCCAAGGAAGGGGUGCGGCUAAGAGGGGGGGAGGAGUCCAUCCUCCCCAAGGCACCUCGGAGGUGCCUUCCCCCUUUAGGACUCUCCCCUUUUUCCUAUAUCUUGGCGCAUGGGCCUCUAGGGGCUGGUUCCCUUGGCCCAUGUAGGCCCAGGCGCACCCCCUACAGCCCAUGUGGCCCCCCGGGGCAGGUGGCCCCACCUGGUGGGCCCCCGGGACCCUUCCGGUGGUCCCGGUACAAUACCGAUGACCCCGAAACUUGUCCCGAUGGCCGAAACAGGACUUCCUAUAUAUAAAUCUUUACCUCCGGACAAUUCCGGAACUCCUCGUGACGUCCGGGAUCUCAUCCGGGACUCCGAACAACAUUCGGUAACCACAUACAAACUUCCUUUAUAACCCUAGCGUCAUCGAACCUUAAGUGUGUAGACCCUACGGGUUCGGGAGACAUGUAGUCAUGACCGAGAUGUUCUCCGGUCAAUAACCAACAGCGGGAUCUGGAUACCCAUGUUGGCUCCCACAUGUUCCACGAUGAUCUCAUCGGAUGAACCACGAUGUCAAGGACUCAAUCAAUCCCGUAUACAAUUCCCUUUGUCUAGCGGUAUGGUACUUGCCCGAGAUUCGAUCGUCGGUAUACCGAUACCUUGUUCAAUCUCGUUACCGGCAAGUCUCUUUACUCAUUUCGUAACACAUCAUCCCGUGAUCAACCCCUUGGUCACAUUGUGCACAUUAUGAUGAUGUCCUACCGAGUGGGCCCAGAGAUACCUCUCCGUUUACACGGAGUGACAAAAUCCCAAUCUCGAUUCGUGCCAACCCAACAGACACUUUCAGAGAUACCCGUAGUGUACCUUUACAGCCACCCAGUUACGUUGUGACGUUUGGCACACCCAAAGCACUCCUACAGUAUCCGGGAGUUGCACAAUCUCAUGGUCUAAGGAAAUGAUACUUGACAUUAGAAAAGCUUUAGCAUACGAACUACAUGAUCUUGUGCUAGGCUUAGGAUUGGGUCUUGUCCAUCACAUCAUUCUCCUAAUGAUGUGAUCCCGUUAUCAACGACAUCCAAUGUCCAUGGUCAGGAAACCGUAACCAUCUAUUGAUUAACGAGCUAGUCAACUAGAGGCUUACUAGGGACAUGGUGUUGUCUAUGUAUCCACACAUGUAUCUAAGUUUCCUAUCAAUACAAUUCUAGCAUGGAUAAUAAACGAUUAUCAUGAACAAGGAAAUAUAAUAAUAAUCAAUUUAUUAUUGCCUCUAGGGCAUAUUUCCAACAGUCUCCCACUUGCACUAGAGUCAAUAAUCUAGUUCACAUCGAUAUGUGAUUAACACUCAAGGUCACAUUCCCAUGUGACUAACACCCAAGAGUUUACUAGAGUCAAUAAUCUAGUUCACAUUUACCAUGUGAUUAACACUUGAUGAGUUCUGGGUUUGAUCAUGUUAUGCUUGUGAGAGAGGUUAUAGUCAACGGGUCUGAACCUUUCAGAUCCGUGUGUGCUUUACAAAUCUCUAUGUCAUCUCCUAGAUGCAGCUACCACGUUCUAUUUGGAGCUAUUCCAAAUAACUGUUCUACUUGGAGCUAUUCUAAAUUGUUGCUCCAUUAUACGUAUCCGGUAUCUCUACUCAGAGCUAUCCGGAUAGGUGUUAAGCUUGCAUCGACGUAACCCUUUACGACGAACUCUUUUACCACCUCCAUAAUUGAGAAAAUUCCUUAGUCCACUAGUUACUAAGGAUAACUUUGACCGCUGUCCUGUGAUCCAUUCUUGGAUCACUCUUGUACCCCUUGACUGACUCAUGGUAAAGCACACUUCAGGUGCGGUACACAGCAUAGCAUACUGUAGAGCCUAUGUCUUAAGCAUAGGGGACGACCUUCGUUCCUUUCUCUCUAUUCUGCCAUGGUCGAGCUUUAAGUCUUAACUUCAUACCUUACAACUCAGGCAAGAACUCCUUCUUUGACUGAUCCAUCUUGAACACCUUCAAGAUCACGUCAAGGCAUGUGCUCACGUCAAGAUCACGUCGGUAUACCGAUACCUUGUUCAAUCUCGUUACCGGCAAGUCUCUUUACUCGUUCCGUAACACAUCAUCCCGUGAUCAACCCCUUGGUCACAUUGUGCACAUUAUGAUGAUGUCCUACCGAGUGGGCCCAGAGAUACCUCUCCGUUUACACGGAGUGACAAAAUCCCAAUCUCGAUUCGUGCCAACCCAACAGACACUUUCAGAGAUACCCGUAGUGUACCUUUAUAGCCACCCAGUUACGUUGUGACGUUUGGCACACCCAAAGCACUCCUACGGUAUCCGGGAGUUGCACAAUCUCAUGGUCUAAGGAAAUGAUACUUGACAUUAGAAAAGCUUUAGCAUACGAACUACAUGAUCUUGUGCUAGGCUUAGGAUUGGGUCUUGUCCAUCACAUCAUUCUCCUAAUGAUGUGAUCCCGUUAUCAACGACAUCCAAUGUCCAUGGUCAGGAAACCGUAACCAUCUAUUGAUUAACGAGCCAGUCAACUAGAGGCUUACUAGGGACAUGGUGUUGUCUAUGUAUCCACACAUGUAUCUGAGUUUCCUAUCAAUACAAUUCUAGCAUGGAUAAUAAACGAUUAUCAUGAACAAGGAAAUAUAAUAAUAAUCAAUUUAUUAUUGCCUCUAGGGCAUAUUUCCAACAGUCUCCCACUUGCACUAGAGUCAAUAAUCUAGUUCACAUCACCAUGUGAUUAACACUGACAGGUCACAUCACCAUGUGACCAACAUCCAAAGAGUCUUGGGUUUGAUCAUGUUGCUUGUGAGAGAGGUUAUAGUCAACGGGUCUGAACCUUUCAGAUCCGUGUGUGCUUUACAAAUCUCUAUGUCAUCUCCUAGAUGCAGCUACCACGUUCUAUUUGGAGCUAUUCCAAAUAACUGUUCUACUUGGAGCUAUUCUAAAUUGUUGCUCCAUUAUACGUAUCCGGUAUCUCUACUCAGAGCUAUCCGGAUAGGUGUUAAGCUUGCAUCGACGUAACCCUUUACGACGAACUCUUUUACCACCUCCAUAAUUGAGAAAAUUCCUUAGUCCACUAGUUACUAAGGAUAACUUUGACCGCUGUCCUGCGAUCCAUUCUUGGAUCACCCUUGUACCCCUUGACUGACUCAUGGUAAAGCACACUUCAGGUGCGGUACACAGCAUAGCAUACUGUAGAGCCUAUGUCUUAAGCAUAGGGGAUGACCUUCGUUCCUUUCUCUCUAUUCUGCCAUGGUCGAGCUUUAAGUCUUAACUUCAUACCUUACAACUCAGGCAAGAACUCCUUCUUUGACUGGUCCAUCUUGAACACCUUCAAGAUCAUGUCAAGGUAUGUGCUCAUUUGAAAGUACUAUUAAGCGUUUUGAUCUAUCCUUAUAGAUCUUGAUGCUCAAUGUUCAAGUAGCUUAAUCCAGGUUUUCCAUUGAAAACACUUUCCAAAUAACCCUAUAUGCUUUCCAGAAAUUCUACGUCAUUUCUGAUCAUUAAUAUGUCAACAACAUAUAAUCAUCAGAAAUUCUAUAGUGCUCCCACUCACUUCUUUGGAAAUACAAGUUUCUCAUAAACUUUGUAUACACCCAAAAUCUUUGAUCAUCAUCAAAGCAUACAUUCCAACUCCGAGAUGCUCACUCCAGUCCUCAGAAGGAUUGCUGGAGCUUUGCAUACUUAUUAGCAUAUUUCAGGAUAGACAAAACCUUCCAGUUGUAUCACAUACAACCUUUCCUCAAGAAUCGUCGACGAAACAAUGUUUUGACAUCCUAUCUGCAAGAUUUCAUAAAUAAUGCAGUAAUUGUUAAUAUAAUUCCAACAGACUCUUAGCAUCGCUACGAGUGAGAAAGUCUCAUUGUAGUCAACUCCUUGAACUUGUCAAAAAACAUCUUAACGACAAGUCGAGCUUUCUCAAUGGUGACACUUACCAUCAUUGUCUGUCUUCCUUUCAAAAUCCAUAUGUACCUAACAGCCUUACGACCAUCAAGUAGUUCUUCCAAAGUCUACACUUUGUUUUCAUACAUGGAUCCUCUCUCGGGUUUUAUGGCCAUGAGCCAUUUAUCGGAAUCCGGGCCCACCAUUGCUUCUCCAUAGCUCGUAGGUUCAUUGUUGUCUAGCAACAUGACUUCCAAGACAGGAUUACUGUACCACUCUGAAGUAGUACGUAUCCUUGUCACCCUACGAGGUUUGGGAGUGACUUGAUCUGAAGUUUCAUGAUCACUAUCAUAAGCUUCUACUUCAAUUGGUGUAGGUGCCACAGGAACAACUUCCUGUGCCCUGCUACACACUGGUUGAAGUGAUGGUUCAAUAACCUCAUCAAGUCUCCACCAUCCUCCCACUCAAUUCUUUCGAGAGAAACCUUUCCUCGAGAAAGGACCCAAUUCUAGAAACAAUUCAUAUUGCUUUCGGAUCUGAAUUAGGAAGUAUACCCAACUGUUUUGGGUGUCCUAUGAAGAUGUACUUUAUCCGCUUUGGUUUCGAGCUUAAUCCUGAAACUUUUUCACAUAAGUGUCGCAGCCCCAAACCUUUAAGAAACGACAACUUAGGUUUCUCUAAACCAUAAUUCAUACGGUGUCAUCUCAUCGGAAUUACGUGGUGCCCUAUUUAAAGUGAAUGUGGUUGUCUUUAAUGCCUAACCCAUAAACUAUCGUGGCAGUUCGAUAAGAGACAUCAUGGUAUGCAUCAUAUCCAAUAGGGUGCAACUAUGAUGUUCGGACACACCAUCACACUAUGGUGUUCCAGGCGGUAUUAAUUGUGAAACAAUUUCCACAAUGUCUUAAUUGUGUGCCAAAACUCGUAACUCAGAUACUCAUCUCUAUGAUCAUAUCAUAGACAUUUUAUCCUCUUGUCACAAUGAUCUUCUACUUCACUCUGAAAUUACUUGAACCAUUCAACAAUUCAGACUUGUGUUUCAUCAAGUAAAUAUUCUCAACAUCUACUCGAAUCAUCUGUGAAGUAAGAACAUAACGAUAUUCACUGCAUGCCUCAGCACUCAUUGGACUGCACACAUCAAAAUGUGUUACUUCCAACAAGUUGCUAUCUUGUUCCAUCUUACUGAAAACGAGGCUUUUCAGUCAUCUUGCCCAUGUGGUAUGAUUUGCAUGUCCCAAGUGAUUCAAAAAUCAAGUGAGUCAAAACGGUCCAUUUGCAUGGAGUUUCUUCAUGCAUAUACACCAAUAGACAUGGUUCGCAUGUCUCAAACUUUUCAAAAACGAGUGAGCCCAAAGAUCCAUCAAUAUGGAGCUUCUUCAUGCGUUUUAUACCGAUAUGACUUACGUGGUAGUGCCACAAGUAGGUGGUACUAUCAUUACUAUCUUUUGGCAUGAACAUGUGUAUCACUACGAUCGAGAUUUAAUAAACCAUUCAUUUUAGGUGUAAGACCAUUGAAGGUAUUAUUCAAAUAAACAGAGUAACCAUUAUUCUCCUUAAAUGAAUAACCGUAUUGCGAUAGACGUAAUCCAAUCAUGUCUAUGCUCAACGCAAACACCAAAUAACAAUUAUUUAGGUUUAACACCAAUCUCUUUGGUAGAGGGAGCGUGCGAUGCUUGAUCAUAUCAAGCAUGGAAAAACUUACAACACAUAUCGUCAGCUCACCUUUAGCUAGUCUCUGUUUAUUCCGUAGCCUUUUGUUUCGAGUUACUAACACUUAGCAACCGAACUGGUAUCUAAUACCCUGGUGCUACUAGGAGUACUAGCAAAGUACACAUUAACACAAUGUAUAUCCAAUAUACUUCUAUCGACCUUGCCAGCCUUCUUAUCUACCAAGUAUCUAGGGUAAUUCUGCUCUAGUAGUUGUUCCCCUUAUUACAGAAGCACUUAGUCUCGGGUUUGGGUUUUACCUUGGGUUUCUUCACUAGAGCAGCAGCUGAUUUGCCGUUUCAUGAAGUAUCCCUUCUUGCCCUUGCCCUUCUUGAAACUAGUGGUUCCACCAACCAUCAACAAUUGAUGCUCCUUCUUGAUUUCUACUUUCGCGGUGUCAAACAUCGCGAAUACCUCAAGGAUCAUCAUAUCUAUCCCUGAUAUGUUAUAGUUCAUCAUGAAGCUCUAACAGCUUGGUGGCAAUGACUUUGGAGAACCAUCACUAUCUCAUCUGGAAGAUCAACUCCCACUCGAUUCAAGCGAUUGUUGUACUCAGACAAUCUGAGCACAAGCUCAACGAUUGAGCUUUUCUCCCUUAGUUUGCAGGUUAAGAAAGUCAUCGGAGGUCUUAUACCUCUUGACAUGGGCACGAGCCUGAAAUCCCAAUUUCAGCCCUCAAAACAUCUCAUAUGUUUCGCGAUGUUUCAAAAACGUCUUUGGUGCCUCAACUCUAAACCGUUUAACUGAACUAUCACGUAGUUAUCAAAACGUGUAUGUCAGAUGUUCGCAACAACCACAGACAACGUUCGAGGUUCAGCACACUGAGCGGUGCAUUAAGGACAUAAGCCUUCUAUGAAGCAAUGAGGACAAUCCUCAGUUUACGGACCUAGUCCGCAUAAUUGCUACUAUCAACUUUCAACUAAUUUUUCUCUAGGAACAUAUCUAAACAGUAGAACUAUAGCGUGAGCUACGACAUAAUUUGCAAAAACCUUUUGACUAUGUUCAGGAUAAUUAAGUUCAUCUUAUGAACUCCCACUCAGAUAGACAUCCCUCUAGUCAUCUAAGUGAUUACAUGAUCCGAGUCAAACUAGGCCGUGUCCGAUCAUCACGUGAGACGGACUAGUCAUCAUCGGUGAACAUCUUCAUGUUGAUCGUAUCUUCUAUACGACUCAUGUUCGACCUUUCGGUCUUCGUGUUCCGAGGCCAUGUAUGUACAUGCUAGGCUCGUCAAGUUAACCCUAAGUGUUUCGCGUGUGUAAAUCUGUCUUACACCCGUUGUAUGUGAACGUUAGAAUCUAACACCCGAUCAUCACGUGGUGCUUCGAAACACGAACUGUCGCAACGGUGCACAGUUAGGGGAGAACACUUCUUGAAAUUGUUGUAAGGGAUCAUCUUAUUUACUACCGUCGUUCUAAGCAAAUAAGAUGUAUAAACAUGAUAAACAUCACAUGCAAUCAAAUAGUGACAUGAUAUGGCCAUCAUCACUUUGCUCCUUUUGAUCUCCAUCUUCGGGGCUCCAUGAUCAUCAUCGUCACCGGCAUGACACCAUGAUCUCCAUCAUCAUGAUCUCCAUCAUCGUGUCUUCAUGAAGUUGCCUCGCCAACUAUUACUUCUACUACUAUGGCUAACGGUUAGCAAUAAAGUAAAGUAAUUACAUGACGUUUAAGUUGACACGCAGGUCACAAAUGAAUAAAGACAACUCCUAUGGCUCCUGCCGGUUGUCAUACUCAUCGACAUGCAAGUCGUGAUUCCUAUUACAAGAACAUGAUCAAUCUCAUACAUCACAUAUAUCAUUCAUCACAUCCUUUUUGGCCAUAUCACAUCACAUAGCAUACCCUGCAAAAACAAGUUAGACGUCCUCUAAUUGUUGUUUGCAUGUUUUACGUGGCUGCUAUGGGUUUCUAGCAAGAACGUUUCUUACCUACGCAUGAACAACAACGUGAUAUGCCAAUUGCUAUUUACCCUUCAUAAGGACCCUUUUCAUCGAAUCCGAUCCGACUAAAGUGGGAGAGACAGACACCCGCCAGCCACCUUAUGCAACUAGUGCAUGUUUGUCGGUGGAACCGGUCUCACGUAAGCGUACGUGUAAGGUUGGUCCGGGCCGCUUCAUCCCACGAUGCCGCCGAAUCAAGAUAAGACUAGUAACGGCAAGCAUAUUGAACAAUAUCAACGCCCACAACUACUUUGUGUUCUACUCGUGCAAAGAAUCUACGCAAUAGACCUAGCUCAUGAUGCCACUGUUGGGGAACGUAGCAGAAAUUCAAAAUUUUCCUACGUGUCACCAAGAUCUAUCUAUGGAGAUACUAGCAACGAGGGAAGGAGAGUGCAUCUACAUACCCUUGUAGAUCGCUAAGCGGAAGCGUUCAAGUGAACGGGGUUGAUGGAGUCGUACUCGUCGUGAUUCAGAUCACCGAUGAUCCUAGUGCCGAACGGACGGCACCUCCGCGUUCAACACACGUACAGCUCGACGAUGUCUCCCACGCCUUGAUCCAGCAAGGAGAGAGGGAGAGGUUGAGGAAGACUCCAUCCAGCAGCAGCACAACGGCGUGGUGGUGAUGGAGGAGCGUGGCAAUCCUGCAGGGCUUCGCCAAGCACCUACGGGAGAGGAGGAGGUGUCACGGGAGGGAGGGAGGCGCCAAGGGCUCAGGUAUAGAUGCCCUCCCUCCCCUCCACUAUAUAUAGGGGCAAGGGAGAGGGGGAGGCGCAUCCUUGCCCCUUCCUCCAAGGAAGGGGUGCGGCUAAGAGGGGGGGAGGAGUCCAUCCUCCCCAAGGCACCUCGGAGGUGCCUUCCCCCUUUAGGACUCUCCCCUUUUUCCUAUAUCUUGGCGCAUGGGCCUCUAGGGGCUGGUGCCCUUGGCCCAUGUAGGCCAAGGCGCACCCCCCUACAGCCCAUGUGGCCCCCCGGGGCAGGUGGCCCCACCCGGUGGGCCCCCGGGACCCUUCCGGUGGUCCCGGUACAAUACCGAUGACCCCGAAACUUGUCCCGAUGGCCGAAACAGGACUUCCUAUAUAUAAAUCUUUACCUCCGGACCAUUCCGGAACUCCUCGUGACGUCCGGGAUCUCAUCCGGGACUCCGAACAACAUUCGGUAACCACAUACAAACUUCCUUUAUAACCCUAGCGUCAUCGAACCUUAAGUGUGUAGACCCUACGGGUUCGGGAGACAUGUAGUCAUGACCGAGAUGUUCUCCGGUCAAUAACCAACAGCGGGAUCUGGAUACCCAUGUUGGCUCGCACAUGUUCCACGAUGAUCUCAUCGGAUGAACCACGAUGUCAAGGACUCAAUCAAUCCCGUAUACAAUUCCCUUUGUCUAGCGGUAUGGUACUUGCCCGAGAUUCGAUCGUCGGUAUACCGAUACCUUGUUCAAUCUCGUUACCGGCAAGCCUCUUUACUCGUUCCGUAACACAUCAUCCCGUGAUCAACCCCUUGGUCACAUUGUGCACAUUAUGAUGAUGUCCUACCGAGUGGGCCCAGAGAUACCUCUCCGUUUACACGGAGUGACAAAAUCCCAAUCUCGAUUCGUGCCAACCCAACAGACACUUUCAGAGAUACCCGUAGUGUACCUUUAUAGCCACCCAGUUACGUUGUGACGUUUGGCACACCCAAAGCACUCCUACGGUAUCCGGGAGUUGCACAAUCUCAUGGUCUAAGGAAAUGAUACUUGACAUUAGAAAAGCUUUAGCAUACGAACUACAUGAUCUUGUGCUAGGCUUAGNNNNNNNNNNUGAUCAACCCCUUGGUCACAUUGUGCACAUUAUGAUGAUGUCCUACCGAGUGGGCCCAGAGAUACCUCUCCGUUUACACGGAGUGACAAAAUCCCAAUCUCGAUUCGUGCCAACCCAACAGACAUUUUCAGAGAUACCCGUAGUGUACCUUUAUAGCCACCCAGUUACGUUGUGACGUUUGGCACACCCAAAGCACUCCUACGGUAUCCGGGAGUUGCACAAUCUCAUGGUCUAAGGAAAUGAUACUUGACAUUAGAAAAGCUUUAGCAUACGAACUACAUGAUCUUGUGCUAGGCUUAGGAUUGGGUCUUGUCCAUCACAUCAUUCUCCUAAUGAUGUGAUCCCGUUAUCAACGACAUCCAAUGUCCAUGGUCAGGAAACCGUAACCAUCUAUUGAUUAACGAGCUAGUCAACUAGAGGCUUACUAGGGACAUGGUGUUGUCUAUGUAUCCACACAUGUAUCUGAGUUUCCUAUCAAUACAAUUCUAGCAUGGAUAAUAAACGAUUAUCAUGAACAAGGAAAUAUAAUAAUAAUCAAUUUAUUAUUGCCUCUAGGGCAUAUUUCCAACAAGAAACGGGGAACAAACUGAUGAAAGAAUGAUCAUACCGAGGGAAUUCACUCAGAACUAACAAGAAUGAUAACGUGCUUUGACUGGAGCGGUUUAAAAACUGCUGGAAGGCUCUAGGGGAAUAAAGAUGGAAUGCCUUCAAAUUUCUAGGUCCGUAUGAUUUGAAAUACUUGCACACAAACCGCGCGAAAGCGUUCCUGGAAAUCUCAGCCCAAAAAAGGACGUUUAGUAAUUCUAAAAGGGACUACAGAAUGAAAAACAAUAGUUUUGGCAGUUAAAGUUUGAGAUUCGAUGGUGCCGUAGAUCCGUUUGGUCAUCAGGUGUAACGAGCCACACCCAUGUCUAGCUAGAGUAGUGUGCUAGGCUCAGGCUAGAGAAGAAACGGGGAACAAACUGAUGAAAGAAUGAUCAUACCGAGGGAAUUCACUCAGAACUAACAAGAAUGAUAACGUGCUCCGACUGGAGCGGUUUAGGAACUGCUGGAAGGCUCUAGGGGAAGAAAGAAGGAAUGACUUCUAAUUUUUAGGUCCGUAUGAUUUGAAAUACGUGCACACAAACCGCGCGAAAGCGUUCCUGGAAAUCUCAGCCCAAAAAAGGACGUUUAGUAUUCUAAAAGGGACUACAGAAUGAAAAACAAUAGUUUUGGCAGUUAAAGUUUGAGAUUCGACGGUGCCGUAGAUCCGUUUGGUCAUCAGGUGUUACGAGCCACACCCAUGUCUAGCUAGAAUAGUGUGCNNNNNNNNNNNNNNNNNNNNNNNNNCGUAUGAUUUGAAAUACGUGCACACAAACCGCGCGAAAGCGUUCCUGGAAAUCUCAGCCCAAAAAAGGACGUUUAGUAUUCUAAAAGGGACUACAGAAUGAAAAACAAUAGUUUUGGCAGUUAAAGUUUGAGAUUCGACGGUGCUGUAGAUCCGUUUGGUCAUCAGGUGUUACGAGCCACACCCAUGUCUAGCUAGAAUAGUGUGCUAGGCUCAGGCUAGAGAAGAAAAGGGGAACAAACUAAUGAAAGAAUGAUCAAUACGAGGGAAUUCACUCAGAACUAACAAUAAUGAUAACGUGCUCCGACUGGAGCGGUUUAGGAACUGCUGGAAGGCUCUAGGCGAAUAAAGAUGGAAUGACUUCUAAUUUUUACGUCCGUAUGAUUUGAAAUACUUGCACACAAACCACGCAAAAGCGUUCCUGGAAAUCUCGGCCUAAAAAGGACGUUUAGUAAUUCUAAAAGGGACUACAGGAUGAAAAAUAAUAGUUUGGGCAGUUAAAAUUUGAGAUUCGACGGUGCCGUAGAUCCGUUUGGUCAUCAGGUGUUACGAGCCACACCCAUGUCUAGCUAGAAUAGUGUGUUAGGCUCAGGCUAGAGAAGAAACGAGGAACAAACUGAUGAAAGAAUGAUCAUACCAAGGGAAUUCACUCAGAACUAACAAGAAUGAUAACGUGCUCCGACUGGAGCAGUUUAGAAACUGCUGGAAGGCUCUAGGGGAAUAAAGAUGGAAUGACUUCUGAUUUUUAGGUCCGUAUGAUUUGAAAUACGUGCACACAAACCCCGCGAAAGCGUUCCUGGAAAUCUCAGCCCAAAAAAGGACGUUUAGUAAUUCUAAAAGGGACUACAACAUGAAAAACAAUAGUUUUGGCAGUUAAAGUUUGAGAUUUCAUGGUGCCGUAGAUCUGUUUGGUCAUCAGGUGUUACGAGCCACACCCAUGUCUAGCUAGAAUAGUGUGUUAGGCUCAGGCUAGAAAAGAAACGGGAAACAAAGUGAUGAAAGAAUGACCAUACCGAGGGAAUUCACUCAGAACUAACAAGAAUGAUAACAUGCUCCGACUUGAGCGGUUUAGGAACUGCUGGAAGGCUCUAGGGGAAUAAAGAUGGAAUGACUUCUAAUGUUUAGGUCCGUAUGAUUUGAAAUACUUGCACAUAAACCGCACAAAAGCGUUCCUGGAAAUCUCAGCCCAAAAAAGGACGUUUAGUAAUUCUAAAAGGGACUACAGGAUGAAAAACAAUAGUUUUGGCAGUUAAAGUUUGAGAUUCGACGGUGCCGUAGAUCCGUUUGGUCAUCAGGUGUUACGAGCCACACCCAUGUCUAGCUAGAAUAGUGUGUUAGGCUCAGGCUAGAGAAGAAACUUGGAACAAACUGAUGAAAGAAUGAUCAAACCAACGGAAUUCACUCAGAACUAACAAUAAUGAUAACGUGCUCCGACUGGAGCAGUUUAGGAACUGCUGGAAGGCUCUAGGGGAAUAAAGAUGGAAUGACUUCUAAUUUUUAGGUCCGUAUGAUUUGAAAUACUUGCACGCAAACCGCGCGAAAGCGUUCCUGGAAAUAUCAGCCCAAAAAAGGACGUUUAGUAAUUCUAAAAGGGACUACAGGAUGAAAACAAUAGUUUUGGCAGUUAAAGUUUGAGAUUCAACAGUGCCGUAGAUCCGUUUGGUCAUCAGGUGUUAUGAGCCAUACCCAUGUCUAGCUAGAGUAGUGUGCUAGGCUCAGGCUAGAGAAGAAACAGGGAACAAACUGAUGAAAGAAUGAUCAUACCGAGGGAAUUCACUCAGAACUAACAAGAAUGAUAACGUGCUCCGACUGGAGCGGUUUAGGAACUGCUGGAAGGCUCUAGGGGAAUAAAGAUGGAGUGACUUCUAAAUUUUUAGGUCCGUAUGAUUUAAAAUACUUGCACACAAACCGCACGAAAGCGUUCCUUGAAAUCUCAGCCCAAAAAAGGACGUUUAGUAAGUCUAAAAGGGACUAUAGGAUGAAAAACAAUAGUUUUGGCAGUUAAAGUUUGAGAUUCGAUGGUGCCGUAGAUCUGUUUGGUCAUCAGGUGUUACGAGCCACACCCAUGUCUAGUUGGAAUAGUGUGCUAGGCUCAGACUAGAGAAGAAACAGGGAACAAACUGAUGAAAGAAUGAUCAAACCGAGGAAAUUCACUCAGAACUAACAAUAAUGAUAACAUGCUCCGACUGGAGCGGUUUAGGAACUGCUGGAAGGCUCUAGGGGAAUAAAGAUGGAAUGACUUCUAAAUUUUUAGGUCCGUAUGAUUUGAAAUAGUUGCACACAAACUGCGCGAAAGCGUUCCUGGAAAUCUCAGCCCAAAAAAGGACGUUUAGUAAUUCUAAAAGGGACUAUAGGAUGAAAAACAAUAGUUUUGGCAGUUAAAGUUUGAGAUUCGACGGUGCCGUAGAUCCGUUUGGUCAUCACGUGUUACAAGCCACACCCAUGUCUAGCUAGAGUAGUGUGCUAGGCUCAGACUAUAGAAGAAACGGGGACCAAACUGAUGAAAGAAUGAUCAAACCGAGGAAAUUCACUCAGAACUAACAAUAAUGAUAACAUGCUCCGACUGGAGCGGUUUAGGAACUACUGGAAGGCUCUAGGGGAAUAAAGAUGGAAUGACUUCUAAAUUUUUAGGUCCGUAUGAUUUUAAAUAGUUGCACACAAACUGCGCGAAAGCGUUCCUGGAAAUCUCAGCCCAAAAAAGGACGUUUAGUAAUUCUAAAAGGGACUACAGGAUGAAAAACAAUAGUUUGGGCAGUUAAAAUUUGAGAUUCGACGGUGCCGUAGAUCCGUUUGGUCAUCAGGUGUUACGAGCCACACCCAUGUCUAGCUAGAGUAGUGUGCUAGGCUCAGGCUAGAGAAGAAACAGGGAACAAACUGAUGAAAGAAUGAUCAUACCGAGGGAAUUCACUCAGAACUAACAAGAAUGAUAACGUGCUCUGACUGGAGCGGUUUAAGAACUGUUGGAAGGCUCUAGGGGAAUAAAGAUGGAAUCACUUCAAAUUUUUACGUCCGUGUGAUUUGAAAUACUUGCACACAAACCGCACGAAAGCGUUCCUGGAAAUCUCAGCCCAAAAAAGGACGUUUAGUAAGUCUAAAAGGGACUACACGAUGAAAAACAAUAGUUUUGGCAGUUAAAGUUUGAGAUUCGACAGUGCCGUAGAUCCGUUUGGUCAUCAGGUGUAACGAGCCACACCCAUGUCUAGAUAGAGUAGUGUGCUAGGCUCAAACUAGAGAAGAAACGGGGAACAAACUGAUGAAAGAAUGAUCAUACCGAGGGAAUUCACUCAGAAAUAACAAGAAUGAUAACGUGCUCUGACUGGAGCGGUUUAGGAACUGCUGGAAGGCUCUAGGGGAAUAAAGAAGGAAUGACUUCUAAUUUUUAGGUCCGUAUGAUUUGAAAUACGUGCACACAAACCCCGAGAAAGCGUUCCUGGAAAUCUCGACCCAAAAAAGGACGUUUAGUAAUUCUAAAAGGGACUACGGGAUGAAAAACAAUAGUUUUGGCAGUUAAAGUUUGAGAUUCGAUAAUGCCGUAGAUCCAUUUGGUCAUCAGGUGUAACGAGCCACACCCAUGUCUAGCUAGAGUAGUGUGCUAGGCUCAGACUAGAGAAGAAACAGGGAACAAACUGAUGAAAGAAUGAUCAUAUCGAGGGAAUUCACUCAGAACUAACAAGAAUGAUAACAUGCUCCGACUUGAGCGGUUUAGGAACUGCUGGAAGGCUCUAGGGGAAUAAAGAUGGAAUGACUUCUAAUUUUUAGGUCCGUAUGAUUUGAAAUACUUACACACAAACCACGCGAAAGCGUUCCUGGAAAUCUCAGCCCAAAAAAGGACGUUUAGUAAUUCUAAAAGGGACUACAUGAUGAAAAACAAUAGUUUUCGCAGUUAAAGUUUGAGAUUCGACGGUGCCGUAGAUCCGUUUGGUCAUCAAGUGUUACGAGCCACACCCAUGUCUAGCUAGAAUAGUGUGUUAGGCUCAGCCUAGAGAAGAAACGGGGAACAAACUGAUGAAAGAAUGAUCAUACCGAGGGAAUUCACUCAGAACUUACAAGAAUGAUAACGUGCUCCGACUUGAGCGGUUUAAGAACUGUUGGAAGGCUCUAGGGGAAUAAAGAUGGAAUCACUUCAAAUUUUUACGUCCGUGUGAUUUGAAAUACUUGCACACAAACCCCGAGAAAGCGUUCCUGGAAAUCUCGGCCGAAAAAAGGAUGUUUAAUAAUUCUAAAAGGGACUACAGGAUGAAAAACAAUAGCUUUGGCAGUUAAAGUUUGUGAUUCGAUGGUGCCGUAGAUCUGUUUGGUCAUCAGGUGUUAUGAGCCACACCCAUGUCUAGCUAGAAUAGUGUGUUAGGCUCAGGCUAGAGCAGAAACUAGGAACAAACUUAUGAAAGAAUGAUCAUACCGAGGGAAUUCACUCAGAACUAACAAGAAUGAUAACGUGCUCCGACUGGAGCGGUUUAGGAACUGCUGGAAGGCUCUAGGGGAAUAAAGAUGGAAUGACUUCUAAUUUUUAGGUCCGUAUGAUUUGAAAUACAUGCACACAAACCCCAAGAAAGCGUUCCUAGAAAUCUCAGCCCAAAAAGGACGUUUAGUAAUUCUAAAAGGGACUACAGGAUGAAAAACAAUAGGUUUGGCAGUUAAAGUUUGAGAUUCGAUAAUGCCGUAGAUCCGUUUGGUCAUCAGGUGUAACGAGCCACACCCAUGUCUAGCUACAUUAGUGUGCUAGGCUCAGACUAGAGAAGAAACGGGGAACAAACUGAUGAAAGAAUGAUCAUACCGAGGGAAUUCACUCAGAACUAACAAGAACGAUAACAUGCUCCGACUGCAGCGGUUUAGGAACUGCUGGAAGGCUCUAGGGGAAUAAAGAAGGAAUGACUUCUAAUUUUUAGGUCCGUAUGAUUUGAAAUACUUGCACACAAACCGCGCGAAAGCAUUCCUGGAAAUCUCAGCCCAAAAAAGGACGUUUAGUAAUUCUAAAAGGGACUACAGGAUGAAAAACAAUAAUUUUGGCAGUUAAAGUUUGAGAUUCGACGGUGCCGUAGAUCCGUUUGGUCAUCAGGUGUUACGGGCCAUACCCAUGUCUAGCUAGAAUAGUGUGUUAGGCUCAGGUUAGAGAAGAAACGGGGAACAAAGUGAUGAAAGAAUGAUCAUACCGAGGGAAUUCACUCAGAACUAACAAGAAUGAUAACGUGCUCCGACUGGAGCGGUUUAGGAAUUGCUGGAAGGCUCUAGGGGAAUAAAGAUGGAAUGACUUCUAUAUUUUACGUCCGUAUGAUUUGAAAUACUUGCACACAAACCACGCAAAAGCACUCCUGGAAAUAUCAGCCUAAAAAGGAUGUUUAGUAAUUCUAAAAGGGACUACAGGAUGAAAAAUAAUAGUUUUGGCAGUUAAAAUUUGAGAUUCAACGGUGCCGUAAAUCCGUUUGGUCAUCAGGUGUUACGAGCCACACCCAUGUCUAGCUAGAAUAGUGUGUUAGGCUCAGGUUAGAGAAGAAACGGGGAACAAACUGAUGAAAGAAUGAUCAUACAAGGGGAAUUCACUCAGAACUAUCAAGAAUGAUAACGUGCUCCGACUGGAGCAGUUUAGGAACUGCCGGAAGGCUCUAGGGGAAUAAAGAUGGAAUGACUUCUAAUUUUUAUGUCCGUAUGAUUUGAAAUACUUGCACACAAACCACGCAAAAGCGUUCCUGGAAAUCUCAGCCUAAAAAGGACGUUUAGUAAUUCUAAAAGGGACUACAGGAUGAAAAACAAUAGUUUGGGCAGUUAAAAUUCGAGAUUCGACGGUGCCGUAGAUCCGUUUGGUCAUCAGGUGUUACGAGCCACACCCAUGUCUAGCUAGAAUAGUGUGUUAGGCUCAGGCUAGAGAAGAAACGGGGAACAAACUGAUGAAAGAAUGAUCAUAUCGAGGGAAUUCACUCAGAACUAACAAGAAUGAUAACGUGCUCCGACUGGAGCGGUUUAGUAACUGCUGGAAGGCUCUAGGGGAAUAAAGAUGGAAUGACUUCUAAUUAUUAGGUCCGUAAGAUUUGAAUUACAUGCACACAAACCCCGAGAAAGCGUUCCUGGAAAUCUCGGUCGAAAAAAGGAUGUUUAGUAAUUCUAAAAGGGACUACAGGAUGAAAAACAAUAGUUUUGGCAGUUAAAGUUUGUGAUUCGAUGGUGCCGUAGAUCUGUUUGGUCAUCAGGUGUUACGAGCCACACCCAUGUCUAGCUAGAAUAGUGUGUUAGGCUCAGGCUAGAGCAGAAACGGGGAACAAACUUAUGAAAGAAUGAUCAUGCCGAGGGAAUUCACUCAGAACUAACAAGAAUGAUAACGUGCUCCGACUGGAGCGGUUUAGGAACUGCUGGAAGGCUCUAGGGGAAUAAAGAUGGAAUGACAUCAAAUUUUUAGGUCCGUAUGAUUUGAAAUACUUGCACACAAACCGCAAGAAAGCGUUCUUGGAAAUCUCCGCCCAAAAAAGGACGUUUAGUAAUUCUAAAAGGGUCUACAGGAUGAAAAACAAUAGUUCUGGCAGUUAAAGUUUGAGAUUCGAUAAUGUCGUAGAUCCGUUUGGUCAUCAGGCGUAACGAGCCACACCCAUUUCUAGCUAGAGUAGUGUGCUAGGCUCAGACUAGAGAAGAAACGGGGAACAACCUGAUGAAAGAAUGAUCAUACCGAGGGAAUUCACUCAGAACUAACAAGAAUGAUAACGUGCUCCGACUGGAGCGGUUUAGGAACUGCUGGAAGGCUCUACGGGAAUAAAGAAGGAAUGACUUCUAAUUUUUAGGUCCGUAUGAUUUGAAAUACGUGCACACAAACCCCGAGAAAGCGUUCCUGGAAAUCUCGGCCCAAAAAAGGACGUUUAGUAUUCUAAAAGCGACUACAGAAUGAAAAACAAUAGUUUUGGUAGUUAAAGUUUGAGAUUUAACGGUGCCGUAGAUCUGUUUGGUCAUCAGGUGUUACGAGCCACACCCAUGUCUAGCUAGAAUAGUGUGUUAGGCUCAGGCUAGAUAAGAAACAGGGAACAAAGUGAUGAAAGAAUGAUCAUACCAAGGGAAUUCACUCAGAACUAACAAGAACGAUAACAUGCUCCGACUGGAGUGGUUUAGGAACUGCUGGAAGGCUCUAGGGGAAUAAAGAUGGAAUGACUUCUAAUUUUUAGGUCUGUAUGAUUUGAAAUACUUGCACACAAACCGCACGAAAGCGUUCCUGGAAAUCUCAUCCCAAAAAAGGACGUUUAGUAAUUCUAAAAGGGACUACAGGAUGAAAAACAAUAGUUUUGGCAGUUAAAGUUUGAGAUUCGAUAAUGCUGUAGAUCCGUUUGGUCAUCAGGUGUAACGAGCCACACCCAUGUCUAGCUAGAGUAGUGUGCUAGGCUCAGACUAGAGAAGAAACGGGGAACAAACUGAUGAAAGAAUGAUCAUACCGAGGGAAUUCACUCAGAACUAACAAUAAUGAUAACGUGCUCCGACUGGAGCGGUUUAGGAACUGCUGGAAGGCUCUAGGGGAAUAAAGAUGGAAUGAGUUCUAAUUUUUAGGUCUGUAUGAUUUGAAAUACUUGCACACAAACCGCGUGAAAGCAUUCCUGGAAAUUUCAGCCCAAAAAAGGACGUUUAGUAAUUUUAAAAGGGACUACACGAUGAAAAACAAUAGUUUUGGCAGUUAAAGUUUGAGAUUCGACGGUGCCGUAGAUCCGUUUGGUCAUCAGGUGUUACGAGCCACACCCAUGUCUAGCUAGAAUAGUAUGUUAGGCUCGGGUAAGAGAAGAAACGGGGAACAAACUGAUGAAAGAAUGAUCAUACCAAGGGAAUUCACUCAGAACUAACAAGAAUGAUAACGUGCUCCGACUGGAGCGGUUUAGGAACUGCUGGAAGGCUCUAGGGGAAUAAAGAUGGAAUGACUUCUAAUUUUUACGUUCGUAUGAUUUGAAAUACUUGCACACAAACCACGCAAAAGCGUUCCUGGAAAUCUCAUCCUAAAAAAGGACGUUUAGUAAUUCUAAAAGGGACUACAGGAUGAAAAAUAAUAGUUUGGGCAGUUAAAAUUUGAGAUUCGACGGUGCCGUAGAUCCGUUUGGUCAUCAGGUGUUACGAGCCACACCCAUGUCUAGCUAGAAUAGUGUGUUAGGCUCAGGCUAGAGAAGAAACGGGGAACAAACUGAUGAAAGAAUGAUCAUAUCGAGGGAAUUCACUCAGAACUAACAAGAAUGAUAACGUGCUCCGACUGGAGCAGUUUAGAAACUGCUGGAAGGCUCUAGGGGAAUAAAGAUGGAAUGACUUCUAAUUUUUAGGUCUGUAUGAUUUGAAAUACGUGCACACGAACCCCGAGAAAGCGUUCCUGGAAAUCUCGGCCCAAAAAAGGACGUUUAGUAAUUCUAAAAGGGACUACAGGAUGAAAAACAAUAGUUUUGGCAGUUAAAGUUUGAGAUUCGACGGUGCCGUAGAUCCGUUUGUUCAUCAGGUGUUACGAGCCACACCCAUGUCUAGCUAGAAUAGUGUGUUAGGCUCAGGCUAGAGAAGAAACGGGGAACAAACUGAUGAAAGAAUGAUCAUACCGAGGGAAUUCACUCAGAACUAACAAGAAUGAUAACGUGCUCCGACUGGAGCGGUUUAGGAACUGCUAGAAGGCUCUAGGGGAAUAAAGAAGGAAUGACUUCUAAUUUUUAGGUCCGUAUGAUUUGAAAUACGUGCACACAAACCCCGAGAAAGCGUUCCUGGAAAUCUUGGCCCAAAAAAGGACGUUUAGUAUUCUAAAAGCGACUACAGAAUGAAAAACAAUAGUUUUGCUAGUUAAAGUUUGAGAUUUGAUGGUGCCGUAGAUCUGUUUGGUCAUCAGGUUUUACGAGCCACACCCAUGUCUAGCUAGAAUAGUGUGUUAGGCUCAGGCUAGAAAAGAAACAGGGAAUAAAGUGAUGAAAGAAUGAUCAUACCAAGGGAAUUCACUCAGAACUAACAAGAACGAUAACAUGCUCCGACUGGAGUGGUUUAGAACUGCUGGAAGGCUAAAGGGGAAUAAAGAUGGAAUGACUUCUAAUUUUUAGGUCCGUAUGAUUUGAAAUACUUGCACACAAACCGCACGAAAGUGUUCCUGGAAAUCUCAGCCCAAAAAAGGACGUUUAGUAAUUCUAAAAGGGACUACAGGAUGAAAAACAAUAGUUUUGGCAGUUAAAGUUUGAGAUUCGAUAAUGACGUAGAUCCGUUUGGUCAUCAGGUGUAACGAGCCACACCCAUGUCUAGCUAGAGUAGUGUGCUAGGCUCAGACUAGAGAAGAAACGGGGAACAAACUGAUGAAAGAAUGAUCAUACCGAGGGAAUUCACUCAGAACUAACAAUAAUGAUAACGUGCUCCGACUAGAGCGGUUUAGGAACUGCUGGAAGGCUCUAGGGGAAUAAAGAUGGAAUGACUUCUAAUUUUUAGGUCCCUAUGAUUUGAAAUACUUGCACACAAACCGCGUGAAAGCAUUCCUGGAAAUUUCAGCCCAAAAAAGGACGUUUAGUAAUUUUAAAAGGGACUACACGAUGAAAAAGAAUAGUUUUGGCAGUUAAAGUUUGAGAUUCGACGGUGCCGUAGAUCCGUUUGGUCAUCAGGUGUUACGAGACACACCCAUGUCUAGCUAGAAUAGUAUGUUAGGCUCGGGUUAGAGAAGAAACGGGGAACAAACUGAUGAAAGAAUGAUCAUACCAAGGGAAUUCACUCAGAACUAACAAGAAUGAUAACGUGCUCCGACUGGAGCGGUUUAGGAACUGCUGGAAGGCUCUAGGGGAAUAAAGAUGGAAUGACUUCUAAUUUUUACGUUCGUAUGAUUUGAAAUACUUGCAAACAAACCACGCAAAAGCGUUCCUGGAAAUUUCAUCCUAAAAAAGGACGUUUAGUAAUUCUAAAAGGGACUACAGGAUGAAAAAUAAUAGUUUGGGCAGUUAAAAUUUGAGAUUCGAUGGUGCCGUAGAUCCGUUUGGUCAUCAGGUGUUACGAGCCACACCCAUGUCUAGCUAGAAUAGUGUGUUAGGCUCAGGCUAGAGAAGAAACGGGGAACAAACUGAUGAAAGAAUGAUCAUAUCGAGGGAAUUCACUCAGAACUAACAAGAAUGAUAACGUGCUCCGACUGGAGCAGUUUAGAAACUGCUGGAAGGCUCUAGGGGAAUAAAGAUGGAAUGACUUCUAAUUUUUAGGUCUGUAUGAUUUGAAAUACGUGCACACAAACCCCGAGAAAGCGUUCCUGGAAAUCUCGUCCGGAAAAAGGAUGUUUAAUAAUUCUAAAAGGGACUACAGGAUGAAAAACAAUAGUUUUGGCAGUUAAAGUUUGUGAUUCGAUGGUGCCGUAGAUCUGUUUGGUCAUCAGGUGUUACGGGCCACACCCAUGUCUAGCUAGAAUAGUGUGUUAGGCUCAGGCUAGAGCAGAAACGGGGAGCAAACUUAUGAAAGAAUGAUCAUAGCGAGGGAAUUUACUCAGAACUAACAAGAAUGAUAACGUGCUCCGACUGGAGCGGUUUAGGAACUGCUGGAAGGCUCUAGGGGAAUAAAGAUGGAAUGACUUCAAAUUUUCAGGUAUGUAUGAUCUGAAAUACUUGCACACAAACCGCGAGAAAGCGUUCCUGGAAAUCUCAACCCAAAAAAGGAUGUUUAGUAAUUCUAAAAGGGACUACAGGAUUAAAAACAAUAGUUUUGGCAGUUAAAGUUUGAGAUUCGAUAAUGUCGUAGAUCCGUUUGGUCAUCAGGUGUAACGAGCCACACCCAUGUCUAGCUAGAGUAGUGUGCUAGGCUCAUACUAGAGAAGAAACGGGGAACAAACUGAUGAAAGAAUGAUCAUACCGAGGGAAUUCACUCAGAACUAACAAGAAUGAUAACGUGCUCCGACUGGAGCGGUUUAGGAACUGCUGGAAGGCUCUAGGGGAAUAAAGAUGGAAUGACUUCUUAUUUUUAGGUCCGUAUGAUUUGAAAUACAUGCACACAAACCCCAAGAAAGCGUUCCGGGAAAUCUCGGCCCAAAGAAUGAUGUUUAGUAAUUCUAAAAGGGACUAUAGAAUGAAAAACAAUAGUUUUGGCAGUUAAAGUUUGAGAUUUGACGGUGUCGUAGAUCUGUUUGGUCAUCAGGUGUUACGAGCCACACCCAUUUCUAGCUAGAAUAGUGUGUUAGGCUCAGGCUAGAAAAGAAACGGGGAACAAAGUGAUGAAAGAAUGAUCAUACCGAGGGAAUUCACUCAGAACUAACAAGAAUGAUAACAUGCUCCGACUAGAGCGGUUUAGGAACUGCUGGAAGGCUCUAGGGGAAUAAAUAUGGAAUGACUUCUAAUUUUCAGGUCCGUAUGAUUUGAAAUACUUGCACACAAACCGCGCGAAAGCGUUCCUGGAAAUCUCAUCCCAAAGAAGGUCGUUUAGUAAUUCUAAAAGGGACUACAGGAUGAAAAACAAUAGUUUUGGCAAUUUAAGGUUUGAGAUUCGACGGUGCCGUAGAUCCGUUUGGUCAUCAGGUGUUACGAGCCACACCCAUGUCUAGCUAGAAUAGUGUGCUAGGCUCAGGCUAGAGAAGAAACAGGGAACAAACUGAUGAAAGAAUGAUCAAACCGAGGGAAUUCACUCAGAACUAACAAUAAUGAUAACGUUCUCCGUCUGGAGCGGUUUAGGAACUGCUGGAAGGCUCUAGGGGAAUAAAGAUGGAAUGACUUCUAAUUUUUAGGUCCGUAUGAUUUGAAAUACUUGCACACAAACCGCGCCAAAUCGUUCCUGGAAAUCUCAGCCCAAAAAAGGACGUUUAGUAAUUCUAAAAGGGACUACAGGAUGAAAAACAAUAGUUUUGGCAGUUAAAGUUUGAGAUUCGAUGGUGCCGUAGACCCGUUUGGUCAUCAGGUGUUACGAGCCACACCCAUGUCUAGCUAGAGUAGUGUGCUAGGUUCAGACUAGAGAAGAAACAGGGAACAAAGUGAUGAAAGAAUGAUCAUACCGAGGGAAUUCACUCAGAACUAACAAGAAUGAUAACGUGCUCCGACUGGAGCGGUUUAGGAACUGCUGGAAGGCUCUAGGGGAAUAAAGAUGGAAUGACUUCUAAUUUUUACGUCCGUAUGAUUUGAAAUACUUGCACACAAACCACGCAAAAGCGUUCCUGGAAAUCUCAGCCUAAAAAAGGACGUUUAGUAAUUCAAAAAGGGACUACAAAAUGAAAAACAAUAGUUUUGGCAGUUAAAGUUUGAGAUUCGAUGGUGCCGUAGAUCCGUUUGGUCAUCAGGUGUUACGAGCCACACCCAUGUCUAGCUAGGAUAGUGUGUUAGGCUCAGGCUAGAGAAGAAACGGGGAACAAACUGAUGAAAGAAUGAUCAUACCGAGGGAAUUCACUCAGAACUAACAAGGAUGAUAACAUGCUCCGACUAGAGCGGUUUAGGAACUGCUGGAAGGCUCUAGGGGAAUAAAGAUGGAAUGACUUCUAAUUUUUAGGUCCGUAUGAUUUGAAAUACUUGCACACAAACCGCAAGAAAGCGUUCCUGGAAAUCUCAGCCCAAAAAAGGACGUUUAGUAAUUCUAAAAGGGACUACAGGAUGAAAAACAAUAGUUCUGGCAGUUAAAGUUUGAGAUUCGAUAAUGCCGUAGAUCUGUUUGGUCAUCAGGUGUAACGAGCCACACCCAUGUCUAGCUAGAGUAGUGUGCUAGGCUCAGACUAGAGAAGAAACGGGGAACAAACUGAUGAAAGAAUGAUUAUACCGAGGGAAUUCACUCAGAACUAACGAGAAUGAUAACGUGCUCCGACUGGAGCGGUUUAGGAACUGCUGGAAGGCUCUAGGGGAAUAAAGAUGGAAUGACUUCAAAUUUUUAGGUCUGUAUGAUUUGAAAUACUUGCACACAAACCGCAAGAAAGCGUUCCUUGAAAUCUCAGCCCAAAAAAGGACGUUUAGUAAUUCUAAAAGGGACUACAGGAUGAAAAACAAUAGUUCUGGCAGUUAAAGUUUGAGAUUCGAUAAUGUCGUAGAUCCGUUUGGUCAUCAGGUGUAACGAGCCACACCCAUGUCUAGCUAGAGUAGUGUGCUAGGCUCAGAAUAGAGAAGAAACGGGGAACAAACUGAUGAAAGAAUGAUCAUACCGAGGGAAUUCACUCAGAACUAACAAGAAUGAUAACGUGCUCCGACUGGAGCGGUUUAGGAACUGCUGGAAGGCUCUAGGGGAAUAAAGAAGGAAUGACUUCUAAUUUUUAGGUCCGUAUGAUUUGAAAUACGUGCACACAAACCGCGCGAAAGCGUUCCUGGAAAUCUCAGCCAAAAAAAGGACGUUUAGUAUUCUAAAAGGGACUACAGAAUGAAAAACAAUAGUUUUGGCAGUUAAAGUUUGAGAUUCGACGGUGCUGUAGAUCCGUUUGGUCAUCAGGUGUUACGAGCCACACCCAUGUCUAGCUAGAAUAGUGUGCUAGGCUCAGGCUAGAGAAGAAAAGGGGAACAAACUAAUGAAAGAAUGAUCAAUCCGAGGGAAUUCACUCAGAACUAACAAUAAUGAUAACGUGCUCCGACUGGAGCGGUUUAGGAACUGCUGGAAGGCUCUAGGCGAAUAAAGAUGGAAUGACUUCUAAUUUUUACGUCCGUAUGAUUUGAAAUACUUGCACACAAACCACGCAAAAGCGUUCCUGGAAGUCUCGGCCUAAAAAGGACGUUUAGUAAUUCUAAAAGGGACUACAGGAUGAAAAAUAAUAGUUUGGGCAGUUAAAAUUUGAGAUUCGACGGUGCCGUAGAUCCAUUUGGUCAUCAAGUGUUACGAGCCACACCCAUGUCUAGCUAGAAUAGUGUGUUAGGCUCAGGCUAGAGAAGAAACGGGGAACAAACUGAUGAAAGAAUGAUCAUACCAAGGGAAUUCACUCAGAACUAACAAGAAUGAUAACGUGCUCCGACUGGAGCAGUUUAGAAACUGCUGGAAGGCUCUUGGGGAAUAAAGAUGGAAUGACUUCAAAUUUUUAGGUCCGUAUGAUUUGAAAUACUUGCACACAAACCACGCGAAAGCGUUCCUGGAAAUCUCAGCCCAAAAAAGGACGUUUAGUAAUUCUAAAAGGGACUACAUGAUGAAAAACAAUAGUUUUGGCAGUUAAAGUUUGAGAAUCGUCGGUGCCGUAGAUCCGUUUGGUCAUCAGCUGUAACGAGCCACACCCAUGUCUAGCUAGAGUAGUGUGCUAGGCUCAGACUAGAGAAGAAACAGGGAACAAAGUGAUGAAAGAAUGAUCAUACCGAGGGAAUUCACUUAGAACUAACAAGAAUGAUAACAUGCUCCGACUUGAGCGAUUUAGGAACUUCUGGAAGGCUCUAGGGGAAUAAAGAUGGAAUGACUCAAAUUUUUAGGCCCGUAUGAUUUGAAAUACAUGCACACAAACCGCGAGAAAGUGUUCCUGGAAAUCUUAGCCCAAAAAAGGACGUUUAGUAAUUCUAAAAGGGACUACAGGAUGAAAAACAAUAGUUUUGGUAGUUAAAGUUUCAGAUUCGAUAAUGCCCUAGAUCCGUUUGGUCAUCAGGUGUAACGAGCCACACCAAUGUCUAGCUAGAGUAGUGUGCUAGGCUCAGACUAGAUAAGAAACGGGGAAGAAACUGAUGAAAGAAUGAUCAGACCGAGGGAAUUCACUCAGAACUAACAAUAAUGAUAACGUGCUCCGAGUGGAGCGGUUUAGGAACUGCUGGAAGGCUCUAGGGGAAUAAAGAUGGAAUGACUUCUAAUUUUUAGGUCCGUAUGAUUUGAAAUACGUGCACACAAACCCCGAGAAACCGUUCCUUGAAAUCUCGGCCCAAAAAAGGACGUUUAGUAAUUCUAAAAGGGACUACAAAAUGAAAAACAAUAGUUUUGGCAGUUAAAGUUUGAGAUUCGACGGUGUCGUAGACCCGUUUGGUCUUCAGGUGUUACGAGCCACACCCAUGUCUAGCCAGAGUAGUGUGCUAGGUUCAGACUAGAGAAGAAACGGGGAACAAAGUGAUGAAAGAAUGAUCAUACCGAGGGAAUUCACUCAGAACUAACAAGAAUGAUAACGUGCUCCGACUGGAGCGGGUUAGGAACUCCUGGAAGGCUCUAGGGGAAUAAAGAUGGAAUGACUUCUAAUUUUUACGUCCGUAUGAUUUGAAAUACUUGCACACAAACCACGCAAAAGCGUUCCUGGAAAUCUCAGCCUAAAAAAGGACGUUUAGUAAUUCUAAAAGGGACUACAGGAUGAAAAAUAAUAGUUUGGUCAUCAGGUGUUACGAGCCACACCCAUGUCUAGCUAGAAUAGUGUGCUAGGCUCAGGCUAGAGAAGAAACGGGGAAUAAACUGAUGAAAGAAUGAUCAAACCGAGGGAAUUCACUCAGAACUAACAAUAAUGAUAACGUUCUCCGUCUGGAGCGGUUUAGGAACUGCUGGAAGGCUCUAGGGGAAUAAAGAUGGAAUGACUUCUAAUUUUUAGGUCCGUAUGAUACGAAAUACUUGCACACAAACCGCGCGAAAUCGUUCCUGGAAAUCUCAGCCCAAAAAAGGACGUUUAGUAAUUCUAAAAGGGACUACAGCAUGAAAAACAAUAGUUCUGGCAGUUAAAGUUUGAGAUUCGAUAAUGCCGUAGAUCCGUUUGGUCAUCAGGUGUAACGAGCCACACCCAUGUCUAGCUAGAGUAGUAUGCUAGGCUCAGACUAGAGAAGAAACGGGGAACAAACUGAUGAAAGAAUGAUUAUACCGAGGGAAUUCACUCAGAACUAACAAGAAUGAUAACGUGCUCCGGCUGGAGCGGUUUAGGAACUGCUAGAAGGCUCUAGGGGAAUAAAGAUGGAAUGACUUCAAAUUUUUAGGUCUGUAUGAUUUGAAAUACUUGCACACAAACCGCAAGAAAGCGUUCCUGGAAAUCUCAGCCCAAAAAAGGACGUUUAGUAAUUCUAAAAGGGACUAUAGGAUGAAAAACAAUAGUUCUGGUAGUUAAAGUUUGAGAUUCGAUAAUGUCAUAGAUCCGUUCGGUCAUCAGGUGUAACGAGCCACACCCAUGUCUAGCUAGAGUAGUGUGCUAGGCUCAGACUAGAGAAGAAACGGGGAACAAACUGAUGAAAGAAUGAUCAUACCGAGGGAAUUCACUCAGAACUAACAAGAAUGAUAACGUGCUCCGACUGGAGCGGUUUAGGAACUGCUGGAAGGCUCUAGGGGAAGAAAGAAGGAAUGACUUCUAAUUUUUAGGUCCGUAUGAUUUGAAAUACGUGCACACAAACCGCGCGAAAGCGUUCCUGGAAAUCUCAGCCCAAAAAAGGACGUUUAGUAUUCUAAAAGGGACUACAGAAUGAAAAACAAUAGUUUUGGCAGUUAAAGUUUGAGAUUCGACGGUGCCGUAGAUCCGUUUGGUCAUCAGGUGUUACGAGCCACACCCAUGUCUAGCUAGAAUAGUGUGCUAGGCUCAGGCUAGAGAAGAAAAGGGGAACAAACUGAUGAAAGAAUGAUCAAACCGAGGGAAUUCACUCAGAACUAACAAUAAUGAUAACGUGCUCCGACUGGAGCGGUUUAGGAACUGCUGGAAGGCUCUUGGCGAAUAAAGAUGGAAUGACUUCUAAUUUUUACGUCCGUAUGAUUUGAAAUACUUCCACACAAACCAGGCAAAGGCGUUCCUGGAAAUCUCGGCCUAAAAAGGACGUUUAGUAAUUCUAAAAGGGACUACAGGAUGAAAAAUAAUAGUUUGGGCAGUUAAAAUUUUAGAUUCGACGGUGCCGUAGAUCCGUUUGGUCAUCAGGUGUUACGAGCCACACCCAUGUCUAGCUAGAAUAGUGUGUUAGGCUCAGGCUAGAGAAGAAACGGGGAACAAACUGAUGAAAGAAUGAUCAUACCAAGGGAAUUCACUCAGAACUAACAAGAAUGAUAACGUGCUCCGACUGGAGCAGUUUAGAAACUACUGGAAGGCUCUAGGGGAAUAAAGAUGGAAUGACUUCAAAUUUUUAGGUCCGUAUGAUUUGAAAUACUUGCACACAAACCGCGCGAAAGCGUUCCUGGAAAUCUCAGCCCAAAAAAGGACGUUUAGUAAUUCUAAAAGGGACUACAUGAUGAAAAACAAUAGUUUUGGCAGUUAAAGUUUGAGAUUCGUCGGUGCCGUAGAUCCGUUUGGUCAUCAGCUGUAACGAGCCACACCCAUUUCUAGCUAGAGUAGUGUGCUAGGCUCAGACUAAAGAAGAAAUGGGGAACAAAGUGAUGAAAGAAUGCUCAUACCGAGGGAAUUCACUCAGAACUAACAAGAAUGAUAACAUGCUCCGACUUGAGCGAUUUAGGAACUUCUGGAAGGCUCUAGGGGAAUAAAGAUGGAAUGACUCAAAUUUUUAGGUCCGUAUGAUUUGAAAUACUUGCACACAAACCGCGAGAAAGCGUUCCUGGAAAUCUCAGCCCAAAAAAGGACGUUUAGUAAUUCUAAAAGGGACUACAUGAUGAAAAACAAUAGUUUUGGCAGUUAAAGUUUGAGAUUUGAUAAUGCCGUAGAUCCGUUUGGUCAUCAGGUGUAACGAGCCACACCCAUGUCUAGCUAGAGUAGUGUGCUAGGCUAAGACUAGAUAAGAAAAGGGGAAGAAACUUAUGAAAGAAUGAUCAGACCGAGGGAAUUCACUCAGAACUAACAAUAAUGAUAACGUGCUCCGACUGGAGCGGUUUAGGAACUGCUGGAAGGCUCUAGGGGAAUAAAGAUGGAAUGACUUCUAAUUUUUAGGUCCGUAUGAUUUGAAAUACGUGCACACAAACCCCGAGAAACCGUUCCUGGAAAUCUCGGCCCAAAAAAGGAUGUUUAGUAAUUCUAAAAGGGACUACAAAAUGAAAAACAAUAGUUUUGGCAGUUAAAGUUUGAGAUUUGAUGGUGCCGUAGAUCUGUUUGGUCAUCAGGUGUUACGAGCCACACCCAUGUCUAGCUAGAAUAGUGUGUUAGGCUCAGGCUAGAAAAGAAACGGGAAACAAAGUGAUGAAAGAAUGAUCAUACCGAGGGAAUUCACUCAGAACUAACAAGAAUGAUAACAUGCUCUGACUGGAGCGGUUUAGGAACUGCUGGAAGGCUCUAGGGGAAUAAAGAUGGAAUGACUUCUAAUGUUUAGGUCCGUAUGAUUUGAAAUACUUGCACAUAAACCGCGCAAAAGCGUUCCUGGAAAUCUCAGCCCAAAAAAGGACGUUUAGUAAUUCUAAAAGGGACUACAGGAUGAAAAACAAUAGUUUUGGCAGUUAAAGUUUGAGAUUCGACGGUGCCGUAGAUCCGUUUGUUCAUCAGGUGUUACGAGCCACACCCAUGUCUAGCUAGAAUAGUGUGUUAGGCUCAGGCUAGAGAAGAAACGGGGAACAAACUGAUGAAAGAAUGAUCAAACCGAGGGAAUUCACUCAGAACUAACAAUAAUGAUAACGUGCUCCGACUAGAGCGGUUUAGGAACUGCUGGAAGGCUCUAGGGGAAUAAAGAUGGAAUGACUUCUAAUUUUUAGGUCUGUAUGAUUUGAAAUACUUGCACGCAAACCGCGCGAAAGCGUUCCCGGAAAUAUCAGCCUAAAGAAGGACGUUUAGUAAUUCUAAAAGGGACUACAGGAUGAAAAACAAUAGUUUUGGCAGUUAAAGUUUGAGAUUCAACGGUGCCGUAGAUCCGUUUGGUCAUCAGGUGUUACGAGCCACACCCAUGUCUAGCUAGAGUAGUGUGCUAGGCUCAGGCUAGAGAAGAAACAGGGAACAAACUGAUGAAAGAAUGAUCAUACCGAGGGAAUUCACUCAGAACUGAUGAAAGAAUGAUCAAACCAAGGAAAUUCACUCAGAACUAACAAUAAUGAUAACAUGCUCCGACUGGAGCGGUUUAGGAACUGCUGGAAGGCUCUAGGGGAAUAAAGAUGGAAUGACUUCUAAUUUUUAGGUCCGUAUGAUUUGAAAUACGUGCACACAAACCCCGAGAAACCGUUCCUGGAAAUCUCGGCCCAAAAAAGGACGUUUAGUAAUUCUAAAAGGGACAACAAAAUGAAAAACAAUAGUUUUGGCAGUUAAAGUUUGAGAUUCGACGGUGCCGUAGACCCGUUUGGUCAUCAGGUGUUACGAGCCACACCCAUGUCUAGCUAGAGUAGUGUGCUAGGUUCAGACUAGAGAAGAAACGGGGAACAAAGUGAUGAAAGAAUGAUCAUACCGAGGGAAUUCACUCAGAACUAACAAGAAUGAUAACGUGCUCCGACUGGAGCGGGUUAGGAAUUGCUGGAAGGCUCUAGGGGAAUAAAGAUAGAAUGACUUCUAAUUUUUACGUCCGUAUGAUUUGAAAUACUUGCACACAAACCACGCAAAAGCGUUCCUAGAAAUCUCAGCCUAAAAAAGGACGUUUAGUAAUUCUAAAAGGGACUACAGGAUGAAAAAUAAUAGUUUGGCCAGUUAAAAUUUAAGAUUCGACGGUGCCGUAGAUCCGCUUGGUCAUCAGGUGUUACGAGCCACACCCAUGUCUAGCUAGAAUAGUGUGUUAGGCUCAGGCUAGAGAAGAAACGGGGAACAAACUGAUGAAAGAAUGAUCAUACCGAGGGAAUUCACUCAGAACUAACAAGAAUGAUAACAUGCUCCGACUGGAGCGGUUUAGGAACUGCUGGAAGGCUCUAGGGGAAUAAAGAUGGAAUGACUUCUAAUUUUUAGGUCCGUAUGAUUUGAAAUACUUGCACACAAACCGCAAGAAAGCGUUCCUGGAAAUCUCAGCACAAAAAAGGACGUUUAGUAAUUCUAAAAGGGACUACAGCAUGAAAAACAAUAGUUCUGGCAGUUAAAGUUUGAGAUUCGAUAAUGCCGUAGAUCCGUUUGGUCAUCAGGUGUAACGAGCCACACCCAUGUCUAGCUAGAGUAGUGUGCUAGGCUCAGACUAGAGAAGAAACGGGGAACAAAAUGAUGAAAGAAUGAUUAUACCGAGGGAAUUCACUCAGAACUAACAAGAAUGAUAACGUGCUCCGACUGGAGCGGUUUAGGAACUGCUGGAAGGCUCUAGGGGAAUAAAGAUGGAAUGACUUCAAAUUUUUAGGUCUGUAUGAUUUGAAAUACUUGCACACAAACCGCAAGAAAGCGUUCCUGGAAAUCUCAGCCCAAAAAUGGACGUUUAGUAAUUCUAAAAGGGACUAUAGGAUGAAAAACAAUAGUUCUGGCAGUUAAAGUUUGAGAUUCGAUAAUGUCGUAGAUCCGUUCGGUCAUCAGGUGUAACGAGCCACACCCAUGUCUAGCUAGAGUAGUGUGCUAGGCUCAGACUAGAGAAGAAACGGGGAACAAACUGAUGAAAGAAUGAUCAUACCGAGGGAAUUCACUCAGAACUAACAAGAAUGAUAACGUGCUCCGACUGGAGCGGUUUAGGAACUGCUGGAAGGCUCUAGGGGAAGAAAGAAGGAAUGACUUCUAAUUUUUAGGUCCGUAUGAUUUGAAAUACGUGCACACAAACCGCGCGAAAGCGUUCCUGGAAAUCUCAGCCCAAAAAAGGACGUUUAGUAUUCUAAAAGGGACUACAGAAUGAAAAACAAUAGUUUUGGCAGUUAAAGUUUGAGAUUCGACGGUGCCGUAGAUCCGUUUGGUCAUCAGGUGUUACGAGCCACACCCAUGUCUAGCUAGAAUAGUGUGCCAGGCUCAGGCUAGAGAAGAAAAGGGGAACAAACUGAUGAAAGAAUGAUCAAACCGAGGGAUUUCACUCAGAACUAACAAUAAUGAUAACGUGCUCCGACUGGAGCGGUUUAGGAACUGCUGGAAGGCUCUAGGCGAAUAAAGAUGGAAUGACUUCUAAUUUUUACGUCCGUAUGAUUUUAAAUACUUGCACACAAACCACGCAAAAGCGUUCCUGGAAAUCUCGGCCUAAAAAGGACGUUUAGUAAUUCUAAAAGGGACUACAGGAUGAAAAAUAAUAGUUUGGGCAGUUAAAAUUUGAGAUUCGACGGUGCCGUAGAUCCGUUUGGUCAUCAGGUGUUACGAGCCACACCCAUGUCUAGCUAGAAUAGUGUGUUAGGCUCAGGCUAGAGAAGAAACAGGGAACAAACUGAUGAAAGAAUGAUCAUACCAAGGGAAUUCACUCAGAACUAACAAGAAUGAUAACGUGCUCCGACUGGAGCAGUUUAGAAACUGCUGGAAGGCUCUAGGGGAAUAAAGAUGGGAUGACUUCAAAUUUUUAGGUCCGUAUGAUUUGAAAUACUUGCACACAAACCGCGCGAAAGCGUUCCUGGAAAUCGCAGCCCAAAAAAGGACGUUUAGUAAUUCUAAAAGGGACUACAUGAUGAAAAACAAUAGUUUUGGCAGUUAAAGUUUGAGAUUCGUCGGUGCCGUAGAUCCGUUUGGUCAUCAGCUGUAACGAGCCACACCCAUGUCUAGCUAGAGUAGUGUGCUAGGCUCAGACUAGAGAAGAAAUGGGGAAAAAAGUGAUGAAAGAAUGAUCAUACCGAGGGAAUUCACUCAGAACUAACAAGAAUGAUAACAUGCUCCGACAUGAGCGAUUUAGGAACUUCUGGAAGGCUCUAGGGGAAUAAAGAUGGAAUGACUCAAAUUUUUAGGUCCGUAUGAUUUGAAAUACUUGCACACAAACCGCGAGAAAGCGUUCCUGGAAAUCUCAGCCCAAAAAAGGACAUUUAGUAAUUCUAAAAGGGACUACAGGAUGAAAAACAAUAGUUUUGGCAGUUAAAGUUUGAGAUUUGAUAAUGCCGUAGAUCCGUUUGGUCAUCAGGUGUAACGAGCCACACCCAUGUCUAGCUAGAGUAGUGUGCUAGGCUAAGACUAGAUAAGAAACCGGGAAGAAACUAAUGAAAGAAUGAUCAGACCGAGGGAAUUCACUCAGAACUAACAAUAAUGAUAACGUGCUCCGACUGGAGCGGUUUAGGAACUGCUGGAAGGCUCUAGGGGAAUAAAGAUGAAAUGACUUCUAAUUUUUAGGUUCGUAUGAUUUGAAAUACAUGCACACAAACCCCGAGAAACCGUUCCUGGAAAUCUCGGCCCAAAAAAGGAUGUUUAGUAAUUCUAAAAGGGACUACAAAAUGAAAAACAAUAGUUUUGGUAGUUAAAGUUUGAGAUUUGAUGGUGCCAUAGAUCUGUUUGGUCAUCAGGUGUUACGAGCCACACCCAUGUCUAGCUAGAAUAGUGUGUUAGGCUCAGGCUAGAAAAGAAACGGGAAACAAAGUGAUGAAAGAAUGAUCAUACCGAGGGAAUUCACUCAGAACUAACAAGAAUGAUAACAUGCUCUGACUGGAGCGGUUUAGGAACUGCUGGAAGGCUCUAGGGGAAUAAAGAUGGAAUGACUUCUAAUGUUUAGGUCCGAGGUCCGUAUGAUUUGAAAUACUUGCACAUAAACCGUGCAAAAGCGUUCCUGGAAAUCUCAGCCCAAAAAAGGACGUUUAGUAAUUCUAAAAGGGACUACAGGAUGAAAAACAAUAGUUUUGGCAGUUAAAGUUUGAGAUUCGACGGUGCCGUAGAUCCGUUCGUUCAUCAGGUGUUACGAGCCACACCCAUGUCUAGCUAGAAUAGUGUGUUAGGCUCAGGCUAGAGAAGAAACGGGGAACAAACUGAUGAAAGAAUGAUCAAACCGAGGGAAUUCACUCAGAACUAACAAUAAUGAUAACGUGCUCCGACUAGAGCGGUUUAGGAACUGCUGGAAGGCUCUAGGGGAAUAAAGAUGGAAUGACUUCUAAUUUUUAGGUCUGUAUGAUUUGAAAUACUUGCACGCAAACCGCGCGAAAGCGUUCCCGGAAAUAUCAGCCCAAAAAAGGACGUUUAGUAAUUCUAAAAGGGACUACAGGAUGAAAAACAAUAGUUUUGGCAGUUAAAGUUUGAGAUUCAACGGUGCCGUAGAUCCGUUUGGUCAUCAGGUGUUACGAGCCACACCCAUGUCUAGCUAGAGUAGUGUGCUAGGCUCAGGCUAGAGAAGAAACAGGGAACAAACUGAUGAAAGAAUGAUCAUACCGAGGGAAUUCACUCAGAACUGAUGAAAGAAUGAUCAAACCGAGGAAAUUCACUCAGAACUAACAAUAAUGAUAACAUGCUCCGACUGGAGCGGUUUAGGAACUGCUGGAAGGCUCUAGGGGAAUAAAGAUGGAAUGACUUCUAAUUUUUAGGUCCGUAUGAUUUGAAAUACGGGCACACAAACCCCGAGAAACCGUUCCUGGAAAUCUCGGCCCGAAAAAGGACGUUUAGUAAUUCUAAAAGGGACUACAAAAUGAAAAACAAUAGUUUUGGCAGUUAAAGUUUGAGAUUCGACGGUGCCGUAGACCCGUUCGGUCAUCAGGUGUAACGAGCCACACCCAUGUCUAGCUAGAGUAGUGUGCUAGGCUCAGACUAGAGAAGAAACGGGGAACAAACUGAUGAAAGAAUGAUCAUACCGAGGGAAUUCACUCAGAACUAACAAGAAUGAUAACGUGCUCCGACUGGAGCGGUUUAGGAACUGCUAGAAGGCUCUAGGGGAAGAAAGAAGGAAUGACUUCUAAUUUUUAGGUCUGUAUGAUUUGAAAUACGUGCACACAAACCGCGCGAAAGCGUUCCUGGAAAUCUCAGCCCAAAAAAGGACGUUUAGUAUUCUAAAAGGGACUACAGAAUGAAAAACAAUAGUUUUAGCAGUUAAAGUUUGAGAUUCGACGGUGCCGUAGAUCCGUCUGGUCAUCAGGUGUUACGAGCCACACCCAUGUCUAGCUAGAAUAGUGUGCUAGGCUCAGGCUAGAGAAGAAAAGGGGAACAAACUGAUGAAAGAAUGAUCAAACCGAGGGAAUUCACUCAGAACUAACAAUAAUGAUAACGUGCUCCGACUGGAGCGGUUUAGGAACUGCUGGAAGGCUCUAGGCGAAUAAAGAUGGAAUGACUUCUAAUUUUUACGUCCGUAUGAUUUGAAAUACUUGCACACAAACCACGCAAAAGCGUUCCUGGAAAUCUCGGCCUAAAAAGGACGUUUAGUAAUUCUAAAAGGGACUACAGGAUGAAAAAUAAUAGUUUGGGCAGUUAAAAUUUGAGAUUCGACGGUGCCGUAGAUCCGUUUGGUCAUCAGGUGUUACGAGCCACACCCAUCUCUAGCUAGAAUAGUGUGUUAGGCUCAGGCUAGAGAAGAAACGGGGAACAAACUGAUGAAAGAAUGAUCAUACCAAGGGAAUUCACUCAGAACUAACAAGAAUGAUAACGUGCUCCGACUGGAGCAGUUUAGAAACUCCUGGAAGGCUCUAGGGGAGUAAAGAUGGAAUGACUUCAAAUUUUUAGGUCCGUAUGAUUUGAAAUACUUGCACACAAACCGCGCGAAAGCGUUCCUGGAAAUCUCAGCCCAAAAAAGGACGUUUAGUAAUUCUAAAAGGGACUACAUGAUGAAAAACAAUAGUUUUGGCAGUUAAAGUUUGAGAUUCGUCGGUGCCGUAGAUCCGUUUGGUCAUCAGCUGUAACGAGCCACACCCAUGUCUAGCUAGAGUAGUGUGCUAGGCUCAGACUAGAGAAGAAAUGGGGAACAAAGUGAUGAAAGAAUGAUCAUACCGAGGGAAUUCACUCAGAACUAACAAGAAUGAUAACAUGCUCCGACUUGAGCGAUUUAGGAACUUCUGGAAGGCUCUAGGGGAAUAAAGAUGGAAUGACUCAAAUUUUUAGGUCCGUAUGAUUUGAAAUACUUGCACACAAACCGCGAGAAAGCGUUCCUGGAAAUCUCAGCCCAAAAAAGGACGUUUAGUAAUUCUAAAAGGGACUACAGGAUGAAAAACAAUAGUUUUGGCAGUUAAAGUUUGAGAUUCGAUAAUGUCGUAGAUCCGUUUGGUCAUCAGGUGUAACGAGCCACACCCAUGCCUAGCUAGAGUAGUGUGCUAGGCUAAGACUAGAUAAGAAACGGGGAAGAAACUGAUGAAAGAAUGAUCAGACCGAGGGAAUUCACUCAGAACUAACAAUAAUGAUAACGUGCUCCGACUGGAGCGGUUUAGGAACUGCUAGAAGGCUCUAGGGGAAUAAAGAUGGAAUGACUUCUAAUUUUUAGGUCCGUAUGAUUUGAAAUACGUGCACACAAACCCCGAGAAACCGUUCCUGGAAAUCUCGGCCCAAAAAAGUAUGUUUAGUAAUUCUAAAAGGGACUACAAAAUGAAAAACAAUAGUUUUGGCAGUUAAAGUUUGAGAUUUGAUGGUGCCGUAGAUCUGUUAGGUCAUCAGGUGUUACGAGCCACACCCAUGUCUAGCUAGAAUAGUGUGUUAGGCUCAGGCUAGAAAAGAAACGGGAAACAAAGUGAUGAAAGAAUGAUCAUACCGAGGGAAUUCACUCAGAACUAACAAGAAUGAUAACAUGCUCUGACUGGAGCGGUUUAGGAACUGCUGGAAGGCUCUAGGGGAAUAAAGAUGGAAUGACUUCUAAUGUUUAGGUCCGUAUGAUUUGAAAUACUUGCACAUAAACCGCGCAAAAGCGUUCCUGGAAAUCUCAGCCCAAAAAGGACGUUUAGUAAUUCUAGAAGGGACUACAGGAUGAAAAACAAUAGUUUUGGCAGUUAAAGUUUGAGAUUCGACGGUGCCGUAGAUCCGUUUGUUCAUCAGGUGUUACGAGCCACACCCAUGUCUAGCUAGAAUAGUGUGUUAGGCUCAGGCUAGAGAAGAAACGGGGAACAAACUGAUGAAAGAAUGAUCAAACCGAGGGAAUUCACUCAGAACUAACAAUAAUGAUAACGUGCUCCGACUAGAGCGGUUUAGGAACUGCUGGAAGGCUCUAGGGGAAUAAAGAUGGAAUGACUUCUAAUUUUUAGGUCUGUAUGAUUUGAAAUACUUGCACGCAAACCGCGCGAAAGCAUUCCCGGAAAUAUCAGCCCAAAAAAGGACGUUUAGUAAUUCUAAAAGGGACUACAGGAUGAAAAAGAAUAGUUUUGGCAGUUAAAGUUUGAGAUUCAACGGUGCCGUAGAUCCGUUUGGUCAUCAGGUGUUACAAGCCACACCCAUGUCUAGCUAGAGUAGUGUGCUAGGCUCAGGCUAGAGAAG